Molecule: ribosomal RNA, 253 nt
Filed under: uncultured bacterium
Lineage: Bacteria
Description: partial 16S ribosomal RNA
Rfam family: Bacterial small subunit ribosomal RNA
Source: RNAcentral
UACGAAGGGGGCUAGCGUUGUUCGGAAUCACUGGGCGUAAAGCGCACGUAGGCGGACUGGUCAGUUGGGGGUGAAAUCCCGGGGCUCAACCUCGGAACUGCCUUCAAUACUGCCAGUCUUGAGUCCGAGAGAGGUGAGUGGAAUUCCUAGUGUAGAGGUGAAAUUCGUAGAUAUUAGGAAGAACACCAGUGGCGAAGGCGGCUCACUGGCUCGGUACUGACGCUGAGGCGCGAAAGCGUGGGGAGCAAACAGG